RNAcentral lists this unclassified non-coding RNA (327 nucleotides) under uncultured Thanatephorus. Its description in RNAcentral is "sequence contains ITS2". Lineage: Eukaryota; Fungi; Basidiomycota; Agaricomycetes; Cantharellales; Ceratobasidiaceae. The record is from RNAcentral.
AACGCACCUUGCGCUCCUUGGUAUUCCUUGGAGCAUGCCUGUUUGAGUAUCAUGAAAUCUUCAAAGUAAAUCCUUUUGUUAACUCAAUUGGUUUUGCUUUGGUAUUGGAGGUCUUUGCAGUUUCACACCUGCUCCUCUUUGUGUAUUAGCUGGAUCUCAGUGUUAUGCUUGGUUCCACUCGGCGUGAUAAAUUAUCUAUCGCUGAGGACACUGUAACAGGUGGCCAAGGGAAAUGCAGAUGAACCGCUUCCAAUGGUCCAUUCAUUUGGACAAAUAAUUUCUUUAUGAUUUGAUCUCAAAUCAGGUAGGACUACCCGCUGAACUUAA